RNAcentral lists this ribosomal RNA (439 nucleotides) under uncultured bacterium. RNAcentral describes it as "bacterial SSU rRNA". It matches the Rfam family "Bacterial small subunit ribosomal RNA", at positions 338 to 793 of the family's 1533-position model. The record is from RNAcentral.
CCUACGGGAGGCAGCAGUGGGGAAUAUUGGACAAUGGGCGCAAGCCUGAUCCAGCAAUGCCGCGUGGGUGAAGAAGGUCUUCGGAUUGUAAAGCCCUUUUGGCAGGGACGAUGAUGACGGUACCUGCAGAAUAAGCUCCGGCUAACUUCGUGCCAGCAGCCGCGGUAAUACGAAGGGGGCUAGCGUUGCUCGGAAUGACUGGGCGUAAAGGGCGCGUAGGCGGCAUACACAGUCAGAUGUGAAAUUCCUGGGCUCAACCUGGGGACUGCAUUUGAUACGUGUAAGCUAGAGUGGAGAAGAGGGUCGUGGAAUUUCCAGUGUAGAGGUGAAAUUCGUAGAUAUUGGAAAGAACACCGGUGGCGAAGGCGGCGACCUGGUCUUUAACUGACGCUGAGGCGCGAAAGCGUGGGGAGCAAACAGGAUUAGAUACCCCUGGUAG